Molecule: ribosomal RNA, 474 nt
Filed under: uncultured soil bacterium
Lineage: Bacteria
Description: bacterial SSU rRNA
Rfam family: Bacterial small subunit ribosomal RNA
Source: RNAcentral
AGGACGAACGCUGGCGGCGUGCUUAACACAUGCAAGUCGAACGGAAAGGCCCUGCUUUUGUGGGGUGCUCGAGUGGCGAACGGGUGAGUAACACGUGAGUAACCUGCCCUUGACUUUGGGAUAACUUCAGGAAACUGGGGCUAAUACCGGAUAGGAGCUCCUGCUGCAUGGUGGGGGUUGGAAAGUUUCGGCGGUUGGGGAUGGACUCGCGGCUUAUCAGCUUGUUGGUGGGGUAGUGGCUUACCAAGGCUUUGACGGUAGCCGGCCUGAGAGGGUGACCGGCACAUUGGGACUGAGAUACGGCCCAGACUCCUACGGGAGCAGCAGUGGGAAUAUGCACAAUGGGCGGAAGCCUGAUGCAGCAACGCCGCGUGCGGGAUGACGGCCUUCGGGUUGUAAACCGUCUUCGCCUGUGACGAAGCGUGAGUGACGGUAAGUGGUAAAGAAGCACGGCAACUACGCGACAGCAGCCGA